GAUGAACGCUGGCGGCGUGCCUAAUACAUGCAAGUCGAGCGAACAGACGAGGAGCUUGCUCUUCUGACGUUAGCGGCGGACGGGUGAGUAACACGUGGAUAACCUACCUAUAAGACUGGGAUAACUUCGGGAAACCGGAGCUAAUACCGGAUAAUAUAUUGAACCGCAUGGUUCAAUAGUGAAAGACGGUUUUGCUGUCACUUAUAGAUGGAUCCGCGCCGCAUUAGCUAGUUGGUAAGGUAACGGCUUACCAAGGCAACGAUGCGUAGCCGACCUGAGAGGGUGAUCGGCCACACUGGAACUGAGACACGGUCCAGACUCCUACGGGAGGCAGCAGUAGGGAAUCUUCCGCAAUGGGCGAAAGCUUGACGGAGCAACGCCGCGUGAGUGAUGAAGGUCUUCGGAUCGUAAAACUCUGUUAUUAGGGAAGAACAAAUGUGUAAGUAACUAUGCACGUCUUGACGGUACCUAAUCAGAAAGCCACGGCUAACUACGUG
This 497-nucleotide ribosomal RNA is filed under the name uncultured bacterium. Its description in RNAcentral is "partial 16S ribosomal RNA". It matches the Rfam family "Bacterial small subunit ribosomal RNA", at positions 28 to 507 of the family's 1533-position model. The record is from RNAcentral.